This is a long non-coding RNA of Numida meleagris (helmeted guineafowl), 6047 nucleotides long. RefSeq lists it as uncharacterized. The transcript is spliced from 2 exons. NCBI's taxonomy places the organism in Eukaryota, Metazoa, Chordata, Aves, Galliformes, Numididae. The record is from RefSeq and is a predicted model, not a curated record.
UCUACUAGUCUUUUUUUUGUGCCAGCUUUUUUUUUCCCCUUACGAAUGAGCCUGUUUCAUCCAGCUGCACCUUCCAGCUCUGUGGCUGACGUUUCUGUGCUCUUUGGCCAUGGUGCUCGCUUCAUGGACAUGAAAGAGCAGGUAUGAGUACAAUGAACUUGCAGAUUCCUGCAGUUCAUUCCCAUCCUUCAUCCCACUUUUCUUAUCACACAGUCCCCAUGAAAGCAGCUAGUUUCACCACCAGGAUUUGCCCCCUAACUCAAGCUGCUGGAGGAAGAACAGAGGCCCCAGUACGUAUUGCUUGUUUUAUCAGAAAGUGAGAGUAUGUGUUGAGAAACCGCAAAAGGCAGGAACACACAGUUGGUUGUGCAGUUCCCUUCCUCAAACAAAAGACUGUGUGAUACCCUGCACCCAGCAAGCCCUGCCCUGACUACCCUGCUGCAGUGCCCUGCUGUGCCAUGGAGCAAAGAACCAUGAAGAAAGGUAAACACAGGUUAGGACAUCCCUGGAGAUGCCAAGUCCUUGCUGACACAGUGUGGACAUAGUGCAGGGUAUGGUCCUGGGCCAUCCCCGAGCACCUCUGGGCAACUCGCACAAAGUCUUCGAUGCCACUCAAGGGGCCAUAGGAAGAGCAAAGCCCCACUGUUGGGGCAGAGCAGUACAUCAGUGGCACAGCCCCUCACCCAGAUCACUGCUGGCAGUGGGCUCCUUGCGGUUCUCCCCUACCCAGGCAGUUCUGGUCCAGCUGCCCUUCCUCUUCUGCAGGGGCAGAUGACCAGGCGGUGCUGAAGUGACCAGAUUCUGCUGCAGGUGGUGAUGCUGUUGGAGUCCUGCUGGGACAUGUGAUGGCUCGAUUGGGUAGAGGAGAUGCAGUCAGUGCUUCUCCCUCAACCUGAGAGAUGAAGUUCUUGUGCCCUGUGCGGGCAGCAGGCACAGGUGGCAGGGGAAUUUGCCUUGGUUAUGGAGCAGGCAGUCUCUGAGCUAAAUGCAGCCCUUAUGCUGGGAUGCAGAAUCUGAAGCAAUCAAUCAGGUUAAAUUAGCAAGUUCCUGCCCAUCUGCUGAGUGUUGUCUGGCCUUGAGCAAGGUGAGGUGUCUCAGGUUUCUCGGGCUCCCAAGUUACUGCCAACAGCUGAGCCAUCAGUUGGGACUGAUCUGCCUUGCAUGCUCCCAGCAAUGUGUGGUAGUCUGAAGCACAGAAGAUCAGAGCCCAUUGCAACCACUCUGUAAGAACAGGCUCGUCCUGGGGGUCUGUAUGCUCUGUAUUGCAAGGGUCAUGCACUGAAAUGCUCAGAUACAUCUCUAUCUCCAACAUCUUCAAAAACAUGUGCAAGCAACAGGAUGGUGCACAGGCUCUUUCCUUCACUCUUAUCCACAAAUGCAGUUGUACUGCUAAUGGAAUCCUCCCAUUAUAAAUGAAUAAACGAUGCCCUGAGUGUGGGAUAAGACCGGCCCCUGGGGCUCUCUGGGCUCUCCCCCUGCCUUUCUUCUGUCCAAUACCAUAACAGUGGCACAAAGUCUUUCUUCCUGCUUUGAACAAGGAUUAUCGUAGCCAAGGCUACACAUUAUACCCUGUGUCAACUCCAGUAUCAGGAUAACCAAUUAAAACAAACUACCUUCUCCAUUUACCAGCUCUUCCCUCUCUGCCUUUCAGCUAUUUUCACCAGAAAAACCUGAAUCUCCUAACAAAAGAGCCUUGUUCUCCAGUUCCUUGAGUAGGAUUGUGUGCCAGUACUAUGCCUGCCUGCUGCUCCCCAGAGAGCGCAGGGUCAGGGUGCUGGCAGGGACUUUCCACCCACCACAUCCCUGCCUGCCUGCAUCACUUUGGGAUGGAGCCAGAGGGAGGUGGCUGGGGGCAGCAGCACCAAGAUGCAAUCCCAGGCAUCACCAUGAACGCUAUUUAUAACUUCUCCUUUCUGUGCUAUGUUGGUGAGAUAAUAGGAUAGUUGUUUCGCUAAGUAAGCUGUAUUUUUUCCCCACAAAUAUCUCUUGCUUUGUCAUCAUUUCCUUGCUCUUAUAGGAAACCCUUUUUUUUCAGGAAGCGUCUCCUUAAUUCCUAUUAAUAAGAAGACAUUCAGAAGGUGAGACACAUACUGAAACAACAUAAAAUGUUGGCAGUGACAACCAGCCUAUAGACAAGAGGGCUGUGGGCUGGAAGCCGACCACUUGGACCAUCGCUCUCUACUUCAUCACUCGGAAGAGCCACCUCCGUCAAUGGGAGUCUUGGCCACCUGUUGGCUCCUCUUUCAUGGGUUCUGGUGGCCUGAUUCUGAGGGUGCUGGUCUCUUGUGCUGACUGAAGCACACUCACAAGAUCACCGCCUGUUACAACAGCUGACUUCCACACAAAUCUCCAUGUGCUUUGUAUGGGUGCAUCGUCAGUUUGGUGGACUGAGGUCAGGGCACUUGGCAGAGCCCCAGUGCCCCCCUUACAUCUAGUCAUAAGUUUCUCCAGAAGCAGCGGGGAUUGAAACAUUACUCUAAAAUCCAAUAAUGAUCUGAAAGAGAAUGAGUUCCUAUCAGUAGCAGCGUUCCUAGAGAGCUAAGCAGAGAAUUACAGCUGUAUGACACCAUUUACAGAAGGUUGGCUCAAGAGCUUUAUAGCUAAUUAAUGCUCUCUGCAGUCCCAUGUGCUUUGCCACAGCAGCAUUCUUGCAGGGGUAUAUGUCCUGACACAUAUUUGGGAUUCAAAGUCUUAAGAACAGAGACGCAAACCGGGAGCUGACAUAUUCAGGAAGACCAUCCACGGAGGACAAGGAGAAGGGGCAGCCCUUCUGAAAAACGAGGUUGCUGGAAGUGUGUCCAUGGUCACACAAGGUCUGUUGCAGAGCCUGAAGAUGUUCCAGCUCUGCCUGGAAAUACUGCCUUCUUUUCUGAAAAACAGAGCUAUAAAUUACAGGUGGGCUUGGACCAGAACCCAGGAUCUCAAUAAUCACAUAUGUUUCUGGAAAUGUCUGAUUCACAUUCAAAAUUUGUUGCUGGUUUCUACUCCUCUACAUCUCAAGGCUGAAUAAGUCUGGAUGAUUGCAUCUUUCCCUGGAGGUUAAGCUGCAUGAAUCCAGAGUCCUCUUGCUUCAUCUGUACAAGCACUGCUUUGGCCCAAAUCUAAUCCAUGUUCAUUUGACGGGCUGGUUUCAAGCUGCCUGCAAGAAGCACACACCCCAGGAGCUCCUCUCUGUUGGAAGUCUUUGACAGGGUCCUCCUGCAGAGGAGGAGAGCUCCUCACCCUAGGACAAUGGAGAGCAGAAAGCUAGUCUGGGUUAUGCAGCUAAAAGAGAGUUUAAGAAAGUUUUCUGCCUCAGCUUUCUGUCCCGUGGUGUCUUGCACCAUGUGGAUGAUCACAGGAAUCCAGAACAUCUGAUUUCAUGUGAAAAGGUAAUGUUGAUUGCUCCUUCCUUGUUUCUUCCAUGCUACACUUCUCAUUGACAUCCAUUUUCUGCGCAAGACAUUGACUGCCGAUCACAGUCUCUAUUGCUUCUCUGACUUCUUUCCCACUGCUUCCAACAGAGGUUUUAAACAGCACAGAGCAGGACAGGAGAAGUCAGCCAGUCCUUCUGGUCUCUUUCGCUGCCUCUGGAAGGUGAUGUCCUGCAUGUCUCAUGGAACAAGGGGGGAUGCCAAAGCAGCUUUUAAGUUGUUUUCCUGGGCAUGGCUUUCUAAUCCAAACACAAAUUUUCUCCAUGAUCUCUUGCCACCCCACAGUUUCAGCAGCCCUUUCCUGGGCCUUGCUGUGCCCUAUUGCAGAUAGCCAUCACCACUGCCCCGUGCCCUAUCUGUAUGCACUCCUAUUUUCCCAAAUAUUCUGUUUCACUCUUUCUUCCUCCAUGAGCAUCUGUGGUAGCUGCUGGUGGAACCUCAUGCUCCUUUGCAGCCCUGCAGUAUGCAACCUGUGUGUGGAAGGGAGGCUGAAGUCUCUUGGGACUUUGCUUUCAAAUGUGCACUGUGAUGGCACCUGGGGACAGCCUCACCUCUAAACAAGGAUGUCCAAGUUUGCCAGGGCUGCUUUUCGAGGAUGGCCAGCUGCAUGUCUGCACUGCUGGGGACAGGACGUGAUGAUGUGUGUGAGUGCAAAGGUGCCUGUCGCUGGACUCAGCAGUUGUGAGGAGCAUCACAUCCAUGCCCAUACAGAGUCACAGGCUGGCAGGCCUCUUGUCCUGGCACUGGGUAACACAGAACGGACGCUAGUUAUGUCCUCUUGGCACAUUCCCCUCAGGUAUUUAUGAACACUGAUGAGGUCCCCCCGAGCCCCCUCUUCUCCAUGCUGAGCAGGUGCAGCUCUCUCUGCCUUUGCCCACAGGAGAGGUGCUCCAGGCCCUGCAGCACCUGGUGACCCUCUGCUGGACUGUCUCCAGUGUGUCCAGGUCUCUCCUAUACUGGAGAGCCCGGAGCUGGACUGAGCACUCCAGGUGCUCAGCAGUGCUGAGCAGAGGAGAAGGAUCACCUCCCUCCACCUGCUGGUGAUACUUUGCCCAGUGCAGCCCAGGACUCCCACGUCCCUUUCAGCUGAAGACUUCCCGGAACUGCUACUUCCACUGCCAGCACAUGGCCAGUGACUAAACAAACCCAAACUGAUUUUGAACUUUCCCAGCACAUGAGCUCCUGUUUUAGCAAGAUGACGUGCUCCUGGGAGGCUCAGACACUGACGAAGCAGCUGCCUUGCUGGAUUUCCCCUCCUGCUGCCGAUAAAAACCGCUGCUUCCUUCCCAUGAAGUGGGCGGGAGCCUCUGGCCUCCUUCCGACUGUGCUGUCACCCCUCACCGUCGCCUCCCCCAGGGCACAUGGGGAGCACCUAGAGGCAUGGGUAGGGGAUGAGCUCCAGGAAGGGGGUUUUGAGGCUCUUGCUGGUACGUGGCCAUCCCACAGAGCAGUGCUGUGGAUGCUGGUUCUGCUCUGGGCAGGGAGAGCUGUCACAUGGUCCUGUCUUUGGGACGCACCUUGCCUCACUGCUCCCCCAUUCUCAGGCAUUUGCACUGAAUUGUUUUAAUUCCUUGUUCCCUGGUUUUCAGCAAUCCAGCUUGUGUGGUGGCAAAGGCAGUUCUGCAGGACCCCCAGUCCUACUCCUAAGUACACAGGCUCAGCCCGCAGGCUGCUGCUGAGGUUUCUGCACUGAAAUGCAUCAGGAUAGCCCACCUGGUUCCAACCCCCACACCAGUCCCUACAGAUCACCUCGCUUUUGGGAAGCUUUUCCCAAUUCCAUCCCAAAUAUCCCUGGUGCUUCUGCCCUGAUAUGACAGGAGCUGCAGGACAUGUGUGUCCUUGUUCCUCACAGCAAACUCCCUUGACUUCAAGGCAGUGAGUGACUUCUGCCCACCUUGGACCUCCUGGAACAAGAGAAAAUCACAGGUCUGACUCUCUCCCAAAACUCAGACUGGACUCUGCCCAGCACUGGGGACUUCUGGAAAAGAGACUGAUGGACAGGCACGCAUCCCAUGGACGCAGUGGACAUAGCUGUGGAGCUGGAGAACAAGGGGUUUGAGGGGAGCUGGGGGUGUCCAGGCUGGAGACAAGAAGGCCAAGUAGGGUCUUACUGCUGGUGAAGGCUACUGCCUGGGAGGAAAGGGAGGAAGCGGUCCUCUGAAGUACAUGGAGCUUUCUUCUUUCUUCUUGUCUUCUACAUGGGAGGAGGCAAUGGGCACACGUUGUGACAAGAUAGGUUCUGGAGCAAUCCACUCUGGCUUUUCAUGGCUGGGAGCAGGACUUAGAGGCACCCCUGAGCCCAGAGGGACUUGUACAACCUGUCUGCACCCCGUUGGGCCCACAUGGCCCCGCUCAGCCCUGCCUGGCACAGCAAGGCCGCGCGAGUGGGCUGGGACGGUGAGCAAAGCGCAUUGGUGCCAUACUUUGAGCACAAAGACAUCGCUGGCCAUCAUUAUCUCCACCAGGAAGUGAGCAGUACAGAUUAAGCCCAGGAGGCACACUUGGUCAAAACGGCGUGUCGUCAGCUAUGAGAGUUGUGCCGGUCUCAGGAUGAAAGGAGCAGACGCCAUUUGCCUGAUGGAUCCGAAUGCUUUCCUGGAAUUACCAAAGGAAUAAAUGAUCUCAGCCAUAUAA